UUUGGAUGUGGUGUUGUGAACAACUUCCACAGUUCGACUCGAGAUAAGUGGUGUCACUGAAGGUACUACCUGGUUCUACGCAAUGACGAUAAGGCGGAUUUUUGUUCCUCAACAUACACGGACUGGUAGACGAAGCCUACAAAUGGUGAGCGUAACCUUCUUUCGCAGUGACCGUCUGGGCUUUCUCAUUCGGCUCUGCAACAAGGGGCCUCAGUUAAGAGUUUGUCAGCGGAAUGUUAGCAUCCUUAAACAGUGGUUUCGCUGUAGCUAAGGUAGACAGAUGAAGAUGGCAAGCUUCAAGAGGAGCUACGCGCAUUUGUCUUCGAGUAGCUUUAAGUUAGGCUUAGCUGAGCCCCCAUUCUGUUCGUCACAGAGCAACGGUCCUUGUAACGUACUGACGCAGUUGGUUUUUGACGAACGGAGUGUUUUCUUUUUCUUACGUCAACCGAAGAGGCACUUCGCGUUUCAGUUCGUAAGCCAAAUUGGUGUUACGACAAACUUUUGUGUCCACCUUCGAUUCCAGUUCCAUCGUGGUUAGGGCUAGCUUACGGUCGCGCUGCUAGGUGUAUCAUGCACGGGGAGAUCUAUCUGUUCGGCUUAGGUUUGUAACUGUCACUUUUGUUAAUAAAAUGGUGGUUGUCUGUUUCUUCACUCGUACCCGUUUUGACGCAAACAUGCACUAGCUUAUUGGUUGAGGCAGGUACACUUUGGCUGCCCGAGCCUCGUUGUCCUUUUUGCUCUGUCAUUUUAUUAGAUUUGUGUCUUGUAUUUGCCCACCAUUUCAAUAAAGCCUUGCUUCCUUAUCUUGACUUUGUCUUUCAUCCAUUCCUGGUACGCAAACAUGCACUAGCUUACUGGUUGAGGUAGGUACAUUUUCACUACCCCCUUUCCCUUCCAGGGACUAUAGUCAUGUGCUGCAGCUCAGCCUCAUUUCCCUGGUUCAUAUGGGAGGAGAGCGUCCGGCAUUGAACAUGCCCCACCGGAACCUUGUGAAGUAUCUUUCACUUUGCUCUGGUAACGAUACUGGCUAAUUCUUUGUUUCUUUCCGCAGGUACUGUUCCCUAGCUGGGGUGGAGACAAGACGGGCGCAUGAAGAAUCUUGAAGACUUUUAUUGUACGGUUUUCUUUAUUGCUAUUCCUUGCUGCAAAAUAAAUGUUCCCAUGAGAAUUUU
Molecule: long non-coding RNA, 1172 nt
Organism: Ornithodoros turicata
Lineage: Eukaryota; Metazoa; Arthropoda; Arachnida; Ixodida; Argasidae
Exons: 2
Source: RefSeq, a predicted model, not a curated record